Molecule: long non-coding RNA, 284 nt
Organism: Peromyscus eremicus (cactus mouse)
Lineage: Eukaryota; Metazoa; Chordata; Mammalia; Rodentia; Cricetidae
Exons: 2
Source: RefSeq, a predicted model, not a curated record
GCUUCUUCCUCGGAGGGACUCAAUCCCAGCACCAUAAACAGGUUGACUAUGGUGCUAAUGCAGGAAACCAGCAGCUACCUUGUAUCCUCAGGACCAGACUCCUUGCCUUGAUGAACUGCUAAAAUGAAACCAGCUAGCCCAGAGUGGCGGCCCAAGCAUGCUGUCUCAGACUGUCUCUUAGGAUGGGACCAGCCAAUGGGUUCAUCAGAAUAUGAAUGGACAAAGGAAAUAUGGUGCAGAAACACUAUGAAGUUUAGUUUCUAUAAUAAAUAAAUAUGAAACCA